GNCNUNCUNNGUCGACGAUUCCUACGGGAGGCAGCAGUGGGGAAUCUUGCGCAAUGGGCGAAAGCCUGACGCAGCAACGCCGCGUGAGGGAAGAAGGCCUUCGGGUUGUAAACCUCUUUCAGUAGGGACGAAGCUUCCGGGGUUAAUAGCCUACGGGGUGACGGUACCUACAGAAGAAGCCCCGGCUAACUACGUGCCAGCAGCCGCGGUAAUACGUAGGGGGCAAGCGUUGUCCGGAAUCAUUGGGCGUAAAGCGCGUGUAGGCGGCUUGGUAAGUCUGGCGUGAAAUCUUGGGGCUCAACCCCAAGCCUGCGCUGGAUACUGCCUCGCUCGAGUCCGGGAGGGGAAAGCGGAAUUCCCAGUGUAGCGGUGAAAUGCGCAGAUAUUGGGAAGAACACCGAUGGCGAAGGCAGCUUUCUGGAACGGUACUGACGCUGAGACGCGAAAGCGUGGGGAGCAAACAGGAUUAGAUACCCUGGUAGUCCACGCCGUAAACGAUGGGCACUAGUUGUGGGCGGUGUCGACUCCGUCCGUGACGUAGCUAACGCAUUAAGUGCCCCGCCUGGGGAGUACGGCCGCAAGGCUAAAACUCAAAGGAAUUGACGG
Molecule: ribosomal RNA, 606 nt
Filed under: uncultured Actinobacteridae bacterium
Lineage: Bacteria; Bacillati; Actinomycetota; Actinomycetes
Description: bacterial SSU rRNA
Rfam family: Bacterial small subunit ribosomal RNA
Source: RNAcentral